This is a long non-coding RNA of Pyrus x bretschneideri (Chinese white pear), 1392 nucleotides long. RefSeq lists it as uncharacterized. The transcript is spliced from 2 exons. NCBI's taxonomy places the organism in Eukaryota, Viridiplantae, Streptophyta, Magnoliopsida, Rosales, Rosaceae. The record is from RefSeq and is a predicted model, not a curated record.
AAACAAUUUCAGCAAAAAGAUACCAGAAACUAUAAUUACCAACAUAUUUACAUACAUGUGAAAAUUUAUUUAUAAUCACAUUUACAAUGAUUAACAUAUUUACAAUAAAUUACAUACACGUAGGUAUCCAAGUGUCCAUAUCAUGGUCACUGGAUUUUGGUGCAGAGUUCAGAGAUCUCUAUGGGUUUGAGUUAAAGAGUUCAAUGCACACACUCUAAACUCUGAUAAAUUUGAGGGCUGUUAUCUAUCGACGACUCAUUAUCAAGCUUGGCACGCACAAAUUCUUCACAUUCACAAAAGCACAAAAUCUUGUACUUCCAUAAAAAUUUGCAACCCAAUAUAAAACAAUUGAAAAACUUUAAUAAAAAAUGAACCAUAAACACAAUAAAAAUUCGGUGACCAAAAACCUCUCAAAAACUGAGUUUGGAAGCAUAAACAGAAAUAGCAACUAAAUUGAAUAGCUUUAUAACAACUUCCGAAGAACAAAAUCAUCACCAAGAUUCAGUUUAAUUAGUUUUCUCACCAUAUCCUUAUAUAUGCAGUUUAUAUAAUGAGACAAUCAUCUUCCAAAACCAUUUUACAACCAAUAUAACUUUAGUGCUAAAAAAAAAUUCUUGUAUUUUCAAAAACAUCCGCAAGUCCACGAAUGUGUUAUUUAGUUCCUCCCCUAGAACUAAAGAGGUGUUUUGUAGAGACCUAAAAUAAAUGGAAUCUCCACCCAGUAAUAAAAAUAGAGAACAUCACAUACGCAACAGAAGCCGAACACAAAUCCCACAUUUCACAACCAAAUUAUCGUAUUAGUUCGAAACAUUAAAUUGUAAGAACUAAAAAUAAUAAUAACAGUACCUUAAACUGAAUCUUCAGGUAAGAACUUCCUGCUUUGCAACCUGCAACAAACGAUAGGAAUUAAAACCCACGAAUCCACAAUCAGAUAAAAACAAUUUUCCAAGAAAAACAAAACCAAAAUUGGUAUACAAAAGAGCAUUAGAUCUAUAACCUGGAAAACAAAAAGAAAACAAAAAAAGCCAUACAAAAAACCCCAAAAAAAAAAAAAAUAUUACGGACCUUAAGACAGAGAACAAACACGCAGAGAGAGAGAGAGAUGAAUGUGUAAAAUGAGAGAAAAGAAAACUAAACCAAGAUUGGUACACAAAAGAGCAUUAGAUCUAUAACCUGGAAAACAAAAAGAAAAAAAAAAGCCAUACAAAAAACCCCAAAAAAAAAAAAAAAAAAAAAUUACGGACCUUAAGACUGAGAACAAAUAUGCAGACAGAGAGAUCAAUGUGCAAAAUGAGAGAAAACAAAACUAAUAAGGCAAAUAAAUAUCUCUGAUGAUUCCCCCAAAAUCUGACGUAACACACUAAAAAAUUCGAAAAUAAUCCACAACAAAAA